CUAAGUGAGCUACUUUAAAGCAGCUAUUAGAGCUAACCCGUCUCUGUCGCAAAAGAGUGGGGUGACUUUAAAGUAGAGGUGAUAGACCUACCGAACUUAGAGAUAGCUGGUUUUUUAAGAAAAGAAUUUUAGUUCAGCCCCAAGCCUUUCGUUAAGCAAAAAACCUUCUUAGGCCUGGGAGUCAUUCAUAUAGGGCACAGCCUAUUUGAAACAGGAUACAACCUAGAAUAUAGGGUAAAACAAUGUGAUUUUUCUAUAAGUGGGCUUGAAAGCAGCCACCUUUCAAAAAGCGUUGUAGCUUAUUGAUACUGAUUAUUUAAUAACCUCAAAAAUGUUUAACCCACACACACUAUUAAACUAUCCCAUAAAUUUAUGGGAGCUAUCAUGCUAGAACAAGUAACAAGAAAAAGAUUUUUCUCCAAAAUACAAGCUUUAGCCGCUACAGACAAACUACCGGCAAUUAACGCCUUUUAACUAAUUUAGUAACUCUAACAAG
This 496-nucleotide ribosomal RNA is filed under the name Boophis quasiboehmei. RNAcentral's name for it is "partial 16S ribosomal RNA". The stretch from base 1 to 391 matches the Rfam family "Bacterial large subunit ribosomal RNA", at positions 721 to 1300 of the family's 2925-position model. Lineage: Eukaryota; Metazoa; Chordata; Amphibia; Anura; Mantellidae. The record is from RNAcentral.